Carassius gibelio (silver crucian carp) is the source of this 477-nucleotide long non-coding RNA. RefSeq lists it as uncharacterized. The transcript has 3 exons. NCBI's taxonomy places the organism in Eukaryota, Metazoa, Chordata, Actinopteri, Cypriniformes, Cyprinidae. The record is from RefSeq and is a predicted model, not a curated record.
UUGUGAACUCCCAGUCCUGCUCCCUCUCUCUGUAACUGCAGCUGAUUCUCAGAAUUCUUCCCGAAGAAUUGCCAAAACUCUCUGGAACAAUCUGAAAAUCAGGGACUCACAAAACCUCCUGAGAGCCCUUCAAAAAGCUAUUUAACAUUUGUCAUUAAAACACAAGAGGGUCAAAGGUAAGAGAAGCAGGGCCGGUCUCCUCGCACCGUGAUGGUUGUGCUUUUAACAUUCUGGACCUUCAGUGUGACAUACACAUUAAACUUGUCUGCAAAAAAACAAACAAAAAAAAACAAGAAGUUAACAGGAAUUGUAUCGGUCACUAAAUGCUCUUUUUUUGGAUACAUGAAUUCUUCACACACAGGAAUACAGAACUUAGUUGAGGAAUCCAUCUUUUUUAGAUGUUAAAUAAACCUACUCAUGUGAUGUCAUAGCAAACUGGCAAGUAUUGUGAUAGAAAAUUGAGAUGUGACAUCCUCC